GACGUAGGGCGCGAGCGUUGUUCGGAUUCAUUGGGCGUAAAGGGCUCGUAGGUGGCCAACUAAGUCAGACGUGAAAUCCCUCAGCUUAACUGGGGAACUGCGUCUGAUACUGGAUGGCUUGAGUUUGGGAGAGGGAUGCGGAAUUCCAGGUGUAGCGGUGAAAUGCGUAGAUAUCUGGAGGAACACCGGUGGCGAAGGCGGCAUCCUGGACCAACACUGACACUGAGGAGCGAAAGCCAGGGGAGCAAACGGG
RNAcentral lists this ribosomal RNA (253 nucleotides) under uncultured bacterium. Its description in RNAcentral is "partial 16S ribosomal RNA". It matches the Rfam family "Bacterial small subunit ribosomal RNA", at positions 524 to 776 of the family's 1533-position model. The record is from RNAcentral.